AACGCACAUUGCGCCCGUUAGCAUUCUAGCGGGCAUGCCUGUUCGAGCGUCAUUUCAACCCUCAGCUUCUACACUGUAUUUGCUGGUGUUGGGGUCCUCUGCGGCUGCCGCAGGCCCUGAAAAACAGUGGCGGGCUCCGCUAUACUCCGAGCGCAGUAAUACCUCUCGCUUAGGGUGUAUGGUGGAGAUCCAGCCCUUUUUUAAACUUUUUGUGGUUGACCUCGGAUCAGGUAGGAAUACCCGCUGAACUUAA
Molecule: unclassified non-coding RNA, 253 nt
Filed under: uncultured fungus
Lineage: Eukaryota; Fungi
Description: partial contains 5.8S ribosomal RNA, internal transcribed spacer 2, and large subunit ribosomal RNA
Source: RNAcentral